Molecule: ribosomal RNA, 384 nt
Filed under: uncultured prokaryote
Description: bacterial SSU rRNA
Rfam family: Archaeal small subunit ribosomal RNA
Source: RNAcentral
GCGAAAACUUUACAAUGCUGGCAACAGCGAUAAGGGAACCUCGAGUGCCAGGUUACAAAUCUGGCUGUCGAGAUGCCUAAAAAGCAUUUCAUAGCAAGGGCCGGGCAAGACCGGUGCCAGCCGCCGCGGUAACACCGGCGGCUCGAGUGGUAACCAUUAUUAUUGGGUCUAAAGGGUCUGUAGCCGGCCGGAUAAGUCUCUUGAGAAAUCUGGCAGCUUAACUGUCAGGCUUUCAGGUGAUACUGUCUGGCUCGAGGCCGGGAGAGGUGAGAGGUACUUCAGGGGUAGGGGUGAAAUCUUGUAAUCCUUGAAGGACCACCAGUGGCGAAGGCGUCUCACCAGAACGGACCUGACGGCAAGGGACGAAAGCUAGGGGCACGAACC